This 455-nucleotide ribosomal RNA is filed under the name uncultured bacterium. Its description in RNAcentral is "bacterial SSU rRNA". It matches the Rfam family "Bacterial small subunit ribosomal RNA", at positions 340 to 786 of the family's 1533-position model. The record is from RNAcentral.
UACGGAAGGCAGCAGUGGGGAAUAUUGCACAAUGGGCGCAAGCCUGAUGCAGCCAUGCCGCGUGUAUGAAGAAGGCCUUCGGGUUGUAAAGUACUUUCAGUCGUGAGGAAGGUGUUAAGGUUAAUAACCUUAGCAAUUGACGUUAGCGACAGAAGAAGCACCGGCUAACUCCGUGCCAGCAGCCGCGGUAAUACGGAGGGUGCGAGCGUUAAUCGGAAUUACUGGGCGUAAAGGGCACGCAGGCGGUUAAUUAAGUUGGAUGUGAAAUCCCCGGGCUUAACCUGGGAAUGGCAUUCAAGACUGGUUAGCUAGAGUCCUGUAGAGGGGGUAGAAUUCCAUGUGUAGCGGUGAAAUGCGUAGAGAUGUGGAGGAAUACCGGUGGCGAAGGCGGCCCCUGGACAAAGACUGACGCUCAUGUGCGAAAAGCGUGGGGAGCAAAACAGGGAUUAGAUACC